This 71-nucleotide ribosomal RNA is filed under the name Pestalotiopsis olivacea. Its description in RNAcentral is "partial 28S ribosomal RNA". The stretch from base 12 to 71 matches the Rfam family "Eukaryotic large subunit ribosomal RNA", at positions 1 to 60 of the family's 3401-position model. Lineage: Eukaryota; Fungi; Ascomycota; Sordariomycetes; Amphisphaeriales; Sporocadaceae. The record is from RNAcentral.
UUUUUAAUGGUUGACCUCGGAUCAGGUAGGAAUACCCGCUGAACUUAAGCAUAUCAAUAGGCGGAGGAAAA